RNAcentral lists this ribosomal RNA (184 nucleotides) under uncultured bacterium. RNAcentral describes it as "partial 16S ribosomal RNA". It matches the Rfam family "Bacterial small subunit ribosomal RNA", at positions 118 to 303 of the family's 1533-position model. The record is from RNAcentral.
UGAGCAAUCUGCCCUUCUCAUCGGAAUAAGCGUUGGAAACGACGUCUAAUGCCGAAUACGACCUCCUUUCGCAUGAUCGGAGGUGGAAAGCUCCGGCGGAGAAGGAUGAGCUCGCGGCCUAUCAGCUAGUUGGUGUGGGUAAUGGCCCACCAAGGCGACGACGGAUAGCCGGCCUGAGNGNCGC